RNAcentral lists this transfer RNA (74 nucleotides) under Candidatus Woesearchaeota archaeon. Its description in RNAcentral is "tRNA-Arg". It matches the Rfam family "tRNA". From Rfam's summary of the family: Transfer RNA (tRNA) molecules are approximately 80 nucleotides in length. Their secondary structure includes four short double-helical elements and three loops (D, anti-codon, and T loops). Lineage: Archaea; Nanobdellati; Candidatus Woesearchaeota. The record is from RNAcentral.
GCCCUCGUAGUAUAGCUUGGAUAGAAUACGGGUUUGCGGAACCUGUGACCAGGGUUCAAAUCCCUGCGAGGGCA